GGAGAGGUGGCCGAGCGGUCGAAGGCGCACGAUUGGAAAUCGUGUAUACGGGAAACCGUAUCGAGGGUUCGAAUCCCUCUCUCUCCG
Molecule: non-coding RNA, 87 nt
Organism: Alphaproteobacteria bacterium 41-28
Lineage: Bacteria; Pseudomonadati; Pseudomonadota; Alphaproteobacteria
Source: Rfam